AAGUUGUAACAAGGUUUCCGUAGGUGAACCUGCGGAAGGAUCAUUAACAAAUCCAAUACUUGCGAGGAGGGGUGUAUUCCUCUCUAUUGCAAAUAUUAAUCCUCUAGCCUAUGCCUUUUACUGGGUGUAGGUUAGUAGAUAUAUAAAUGUGUGUAAUGUUGACAGUGUGUGAGAUAAUUUAAUUUAUUGACAACUUUUAACAAUGGAUCUCUAGGCUCUU
This 220-nucleotide unclassified non-coding RNA is filed under the name fungal sp. RNAcentral's name for it is "partial internal transcribed spacer region". The stretch from base 1 to 46 matches the Rfam family "Eukaryotic small subunit ribosomal RNA", at positions 1786 to 1831 of the family's 1831-position model. The record is from RNAcentral. Lineage: Eukaryota; Fungi.